This 479-nucleotide ribosomal RNA is filed under the name uncultured bacterium. Its description in RNAcentral is "bacterial SSU rRNA". It matches the Rfam family "Bacterial small subunit ribosomal RNA", at positions 8 to 507 of the family's 1533-position model. The record is from RNAcentral.
AGAGUUUGAUCAUGGCUCAGAUUGAACGCUGGCGGCAUGCUUUACACAUGCAAGUCGAACGGCAGCGCGGGCUUCGGCCUGGCGGCGAGUGGCGAACGGGUGAGUAAUAUAUCGGAACGUACCCAAGAGUGGGGGAUAACGUAGCGAAAGUUACGCUAAUACCGCAUACGAUCUAAGGAUGAAAGCAGGGGAUCGCAAGACCUUGUGCUCCUGGAGCGGCCGAUAUCUGAUUAGCUAGUUGGUGGGGUAAAGGCCCACCAAGGCAACGAUCAGUAGCUGGUCUGAGAGGACGACCAGCCACACUGGAACUGAGACACGGUCCAGACUCCUACGGGAGGCAGCAGUGGGGAAUUUUGGACAAUGGGCGAAAGCCUGAUCCAGCAAUGCCGCGUGAGUGAUGAAGGCCUUAGGGUUGUAAAGCUCUUUUACCCGGGAUGAUAAUGACAGUACCGGGAGAAUGAGCCCCGGCUAACUCCGUG